RNAcentral lists this ribosomal RNA (496 nucleotides) under uncultured Hahella sp. RNAcentral describes it as "bacterial SSU rRNA". It matches the Rfam family "Bacterial small subunit ribosomal RNA", at positions 115 to 607 of the family's 1533-position model. Lineage: Bacteria; Pseudomonadati; Pseudomonadota; Gammaproteobacteria; Oceanospirillales; Hahellaceae. The record is from RNAcentral.
GCUUGGGAAUCUGCCUAUUAGCGGGGGAUAACCAACCGAAAGGUUGGCUAAUACCGCAUACGCUCUACGGAGGAAAGCCGGGGACCGCAAGGCCUGGCACUAACAGAUGAGCCCAAGUCGGAUUAGCUAGUUGGUGGGGUAACGGCCUACCAAGGCGACGAUCCGUAACUGGUCUGAGAGGACGACCAGUCACACUGGGACUGAGACACGGCCCAGACUCCUACGGGAGGCAGCAGUGGGGAAUAUUGGACAAUGGGGGCAACCCUGAUCCAGCGACGCCGCGUGGGUGAAGAAGGCCUGCGGGUUGUAAAGCCCUUUCGGUGGGGAUGAAAAGCUUCGUUCUAACACAGCGGAGUCUUGACCUAACCCACAAAAGAAGCACCGGCUAACUCUGUGCCAGCAGCCGCGGUAAUACAGAGGGUGCGAGCGUUAAUCGGAAUUACUGGGCGUAAAGCGCGCGUAGGCGGCUUUGCAAGUCGGAUGUGAAAUCCCCGGG